GAUCCUGGCUCAGGAUGAACGCUAGCUACAGGCUUAACACAUGCAAGUCGAGGGGAAACGACAUCGAAAGCUUGCUUUAAGAAGUGACUUAGUGGCGGACGGGUGAGUAACGCGUGGGUAACCUGCCUUACACAGGGGGAUAACAGUUAGAAAUGACUGCUAAUACCGCAUAAAACAGCAGAGUCGCAUGACUCAACUGUCAAAGAUUUAUCGGUGUAAGAUGGACCCGCGUUUGAUUAGUUAGUUGGG
This 249-nucleotide ribosomal RNA is filed under the name uncultured bacterium. RNAcentral's name for it is "partial 16S ribosomal RNA". It matches the Rfam family "Bacterial small subunit ribosomal RNA", at positions 15 to 253 of the family's 1533-position model. The record is from RNAcentral.